RNAcentral lists this ribosomal RNA (420 nucleotides) under uncultured Bacteroidota bacterium. Its description in RNAcentral is "bacterial SSU rRNA". It matches the Rfam family "Bacterial small subunit ribosomal RNA", at positions 356 to 774 of the family's 1533-position model. The record is from RNAcentral. Lineage: Bacteria; Pseudomonadati; Bacteroidota.
GAGGAAUAUUGGUCAAUGGGCGAGAGCCUGAACCAGCCAAAUCGCGUGAAGGAAGACUGCCUUAUGGGUUGUAAACUUCUUUUAUACAGGAAUAAAAAAGGGGACGUGUCCCUUAUUGCAUGUACUGUAUGAAUAAGCAUCGGCUAACUCCGUGCCAGCAGCCGCGGUAAUACGGAGGAUGCGAGCGUUAUCCGGAUUUAUUGGGUUUAAAGGGUGCGCAGGCGGGCUUUUAAGUCAGCGGUGAAAUCUCGGGGCUUAACCGUGGUAAGCAUUUGAAACUGGAAGGCUUGAGUUAAGGAGAGGAAAGUGGAAUUCCUAGUGUAGCGGUGAAAUGCGUAGAUAUUAGGAGGAAUACCAGUGGCGAAGGCGACUUUCUGGACUUAUACUGACGCUGAUGCACGAAAGCGUGGGGAGCGAACA